AUUAACGCUGGCGGCGUUCCUAAUUCCUUCAAGUCGACCGCACAGAUGAGUAGCUUUCUCCUCUUACGUUAUCGGCGUACGGUUGAUUUACACUUUGUUUACCUACCUUUAAUUCUUGGUUUACUUCGGUAACCCCUUGCUUAUUCCGCUUUAUAUUUUUAUCCUCUUUUUUCUAUUGUUUAUUUCGGUUUUUCUUUCACUUAUUUAUUGAUCCUCGCCUCAUUAGCUAGUUGGUAAGGUAACGGCUUACCAAGGCAACGAUGGGUAGCCGAACUGAGAGGGGGAGCGGCGAAACUGGAAGUGAGACACGGACCAGAGUACUACGGGAGGCAGCAGAAGGGAAUAUUACGCAAUGGGCGAAAGCCUGACGGAGCAACGCCGCGUGAGUGAUGAAGGUCUUCGGAUCGUAAAACUCUGUUAUUAGGGAAGAAAAAAUGUGUAAGAAAAUAUGAACGUAUUGACGGUAACUAAUAAGAAAGCAACGGCUAACUACGUG
This 496-nucleotide ribosomal RNA is filed under the name uncultured bacterium. Its description in RNAcentral is "partial 16S ribosomal RNA". It matches the Rfam family "Bacterial small subunit ribosomal RNA", at positions 29 to 507 of the family's 1533-position model. The record is from RNAcentral.